GAUGAACGCUAGCGGCAGGCCUAAUACAUGCAAGUCGAGGGGUAACUAGAGUGAUAGCAAUAUUACUUUGGCUAGACCGGCGCACGGGUGCGUAACACGUAUGCAACCUACCUUAUACUGGGGAAUAACUUCGAGAAAUCGGCGCUAAUACCCCAUAACACUGCGGAGAGGCAUCUCUUUGCAGUUAAAGCUCCGGCGGUAUAAGAUGGGCAUGCGUCCAAUUAGCUAGUUGGUGAGGUAACGGCUCACCAAGGCUACGAUUGGUAGGGGUUCUGAGAUGAUGAUCCCCCACACUGGUACUGAGACACGGACCAGACUCCUACGGGAGGCAGCAGUGAGGAAUAUUGCGCAAUGGACGAGAGUCUGACGCAGCCAUGCCGCGUGCAGGAUGACGGCCCUAUGGGUUGUAAACUGCUUUUGUACGGGAAUAAACCCUUCUACGUGUAGGAGGCUGAAGGUACCGUAAGAAUAAGCACCGGCUAACUCCGUGCCAGCCGCCGCGGUAA
RNAcentral lists this ribosomal RNA (506 nucleotides) under uncultured bacterium. RNAcentral's name for it is "partial 16S ribosomal RNA". It matches the Rfam family "Bacterial small subunit ribosomal RNA", at positions 28 to 523 of the family's 1533-position model. The record is from RNAcentral.